This 1037-nucleotide long non-coding RNA is filed under the name Prunus persica (peach). RNAcentral describes it as "long non-coding RNA (PPER_LNC007857)". Lineage: Eukaryota; Viridiplantae; Streptophyta; Magnoliopsida; Rosales; Rosaceae. The record is from RNAcentral.
ACCAUCAUACAAGAUAAAACAAGCAAUGAAGAAUUGGGACCAAAGAUUUCUUCAAGAGUAUAUUUCAGGAAAACGCAAACAUUUGGAUGGUAACCUUAAUAUAUUGUUCAAACAUCAUAGUACCUGAAAAUAAAUCUCAAACAUCUCAACACAUGAAAAUAAGGCUCAAACAUCUCAGUACCCGAAAAUAAGGCUCAAACAUCUUAGUACUCGAAAAUAAAGCUCAAACAUCUCAGUACCCGAAAAUACGGCUCAAACAUCUAAGUACCCGAAAAUAAAGCUCAAACAUCAAACAAGACAAACAAGCAAUGAAGAAUUGGAACCAAAGAUAUCUUUAAACAAAUUUUUAAAUGAUCUUAUACAUAAUACUUGUGAAAACAAACCUAGGUCGCAAACUAACCCAACAACGAGGAAAAGAGAGCAAGAUAUGUUUAAGGCACAAAAGAUAUAGUAAAAAGAAAAGAAGAUAGAGUAAACACAGAAAAUCAUACCACAAAGUCAAUAUCAUGCUCAAUUAGAAGACUUACAAUGACAAUCAGAAAAUCAGAACCCAAAGAGUUGACAGCAGUAGUUAACAAAAGAAAAUUCUAUUAAAGGCUACAGAAAAAGAAGCUCUUAAAAUGCCUCACUUGCUUCUGUCACCUGAAAAAGGGCCCAGGACAUAUACUGACCAUAAUUGAUUACCACAACGCUAAUAUCAGAACAAUCUACACACAACCCAAAAGUCCAUACAUUUUCAAAAAUAAGCUUAAUGUAUACGUUUUUAAACUGUAGAAGGGUAAAACAAGUCAAAUUUAUGGUGCGCCAAGCCAACCUUACUAGUUAUUCCACUCUGAUACACAUAACAGUUAGAAACUAUAGAGCAGGGAUAGUAUAAUUAGAGACCAAACAGUAAGAGAAACUGCUUAUGCUCCCCAUUAGAAACUCUGCCCCACUGCAGGCUUAGGCACAUCAGAAAGUACCAUGUUUUUUUUUGUAAAUGAUGAGAACCAAGGAUCCUGUUUAACAUGUCCAAAUAAAAAUGGUUUCCUAUUUUU